AUUGAACGCUGGCGGCAUGCCUUACACAUGCAAGUCGAACGGUAACAGGUCUUCGGAUGCUGACGAGUGGCGCACGGGUGAGUAAUACAUCGGAACGUGCCCGAUCGUGGGGGAUAACGGAGCGAAAGCUUUGCUAAUACCGCAUACGAUCUACGGAUGAAAGCAGGGGACCGCAAGGCCUUGCGCGGACGGAGCGGCCGAUGGCAGAUUAGGUAGUUGGUGGGAUAAAAGCUUACCAAGCCGACGAUCUGUAGCUGGUCUGAGAGGACGACCAGCCACACUGGGACUGAGACACGGCCCAGACUCCUACGGGAGGCAGCAGUGGGGAAUUUUGGACAAUGGGCGAAAGCCUGAUCCAGCCAUGCCGCGUGCAGGAUGAAGGCCUUCGGGUUGUAAACUGCUUUUGUACGGAACGAAAAGACUCUUUCUAAUAAAGAGGAUCCAUGACGGUACCGUAAGAAUAAGCACCGGCUAACUACGUG
Molecule: ribosomal RNA, 482 nt
Filed under: uncultured bacterium
Lineage: Bacteria
Description: partial 16S ribosomal RNA
Rfam family: Bacterial small subunit ribosomal RNA
Source: RNAcentral